This 460-nucleotide ribosomal RNA is filed under the name uncultured bacterium. RNAcentral describes it as "partial 16S ribosomal RNA". It matches the Rfam family "Bacterial small subunit ribosomal RNA", at positions 338 to 795 of the family's 1533-position model. The record is from RNAcentral.
CCUACGGGAGGCAGCAGUGGGGAAUAUUGGGCAAUGGGCGCAAGCCUGACCCAGCAACGCCGCGUGAAGGAAGACUGCCCUACGGGUUGUAAACUUCUUUUAUAAAGGAAUAAAGUGAGGCACGUGUGCCUUUUUGUAUGUACUUUAUGAAUAAGGAUCGGCUAACUCCGUGCCAGCAGCCGCGGUAAUACGGAGGAUCCGAGCGUUAUCCGGAUUUAUUGGGUUUAAAGGGAGCGUAGAUGGGUUGUUAAGUCAGUUGUGAAAGUUUGCGGCUCAACCGUAAAAUUGCAAUUGAUACUGGCAGCCUUGAGUACAGUUGAGGUAGGCGGAAUUCGUGGUGUAGCGGUGAAAUGCUUAGAUAUCACGAAGAACUCCGAUUGCGAAGGCAGCUUACUAAACUGCCACUGACAUUGAUGCUCGAAAGUGUGGGUAUCAAACAGGAUUAGAUACCCCGGUAGUC